AAACAUGUCUACAUGGGUAUAAUAUUAAAUGUAGUCCAGCCUGCCCACUGAAUAUAAAUUUUAAAGGGCCGCGGUACACUGACCGUGCUAAGGUAGCAUAAUCAAUAGUCUUUUAAUUGGAGACUGGAAUGAACGGCUAGAUAAAAAGUUUACUGUCUAUAUAAUAAAUCUUGAAUUUUACUUUUAAGUGAAAAGGCUUAAAUAUAUUAAAGUGACGAUAAGACCCUAUAAAACUUUAUAAUAAAUCAUGAUUAUCUUAAAUUUUAAAUCAAAAUAUAUUUCAUAUAUUACUAUUUAGUUGGGGCGACUGAGAUAUAAAAAAUCUGUCUUUAGUAAAAAAUACUUAUAAUUAGAUCAAGAUCCUUUAUUAAGGAUUAAAAGGCUAAGUUACUUUAGGGAUAACAGCGUGAUUUUUCUUAAGAGUUCUUAUCGACAGAAUAAGUUGCGACCUC
RNAcentral lists this ribosomal RNA (452 nucleotides) under Latreutes fucorum. Its description in RNAcentral is "partial 16S ribosomal RNA". It matches the Rfam family "Archaeal large subunit ribosomal RNA", at positions 1903 to 2596 of the family's 2987-position model. The record is from RNAcentral. Lineage: Eukaryota; Metazoa; Arthropoda; Malacostraca; Decapoda; Hippolytidae.